UACGUAGGGACCGAGCGUUGUCCGGAAUCAUUGGGCGUAAAGAGCGUGUAGGCGGCUAUUUAAGUCCUGCGUGAAAUCCUGCGGCUCAACCGCAGACGGUCGUGGGAAACUGGAUGGCUAGAGUGCGGGAGAGGAGAGUGGAAUUCCCGGUGUAGCGGUGAAAUGCGCAGAUAUCAGGAGGAACACCGGUGGCGAAGGCGGGUCUCUGGGCCGAUACUGACGCUGAGGAGCGAAAGCGUGGGGAGCGAACAGG
Molecule: ribosomal RNA, 253 nt
Filed under: uncultured bacterium
Lineage: Bacteria
Description: partial 16S ribosomal RNA
Rfam family: Bacterial small subunit ribosomal RNA
Source: RNAcentral